GAUGAACGCUGGCGGCGUGCCUAACACAUGCAAGUCGAGCGGCAGCGCGGGGUGCUUGCACCCUGUCGGCGAGCGGCGGACGGCUGAGUAACGCGUGGGAACGUGCCCCAAAGUGAGGAAUAACUGCCCGAAAGGGUAGCUAAUACCGCAUAUUAUCUUCGGAUCAAAGGAUUUAUCCGCUUUGGGAGCGGCUCGCGUCGGAUUAGGUAGUUGGUGAGGUAAUGGCUCACCAAGCCGACGACCCGUAGCUGGUCUGAGAGGAUGACCAGCCAGACUGGAACUGAGACACGGUCCAGACUCCUACGGGAGGCAGCAGUGAGGAAUCUUCCACAAUGGGCGAAAGCCUGAUGGAGCAACGCCGCGUGCAGGACGAAGGCCUUCGGGUUGUAAACUGCUUUUAUAAGUGAGGAAUAUGACGGUAACUUAUGAAUAAGGAUCGGCUAACUACGUG
This 451-nucleotide ribosomal RNA is filed under the name uncultured bacterium. RNAcentral describes it as "partial 16S ribosomal RNA". It matches the Rfam family "Bacterial small subunit ribosomal RNA", at positions 28 to 507 of the family's 1533-position model. The record is from RNAcentral.